RNAcentral lists this long non-coding RNA (734 nucleotides) under Sarcophilus harrisii (Tasmanian devil). RNAcentral describes it as "lncRNA (ENSSHAG00000031571.1)". The record is from RNAcentral. Lineage: Eukaryota; Metazoa; Chordata; Mammalia; Dasyuromorphia; Dasyuridae.
GGCGCCCACCUUUGGCAGGCUCCAGUCUGAUUGGCUGGUGCCUCUCUGAGGACCCCGAGAGUCGGGAACAGGGAGACGGGUGAAUAGGCUGUCUGCUGGGGACCAACGGAGGGAGCGGCGGGAUUGGCUGGAGGAAGACUGCAGUAUUACCAAGGUGGCGCUGACGUCUCCGGCCACUGACGCUCGGCCGAGGGCGGCCCACCUUGGCAGGCUCAGCUCCGAUUGGCUGGUGCCUCCCUGAGGACGCCGAGAGUAGGGAACAGGAGACAAGGCUGUCUGCUGGGGACCAACGGAGGGAGCGGCGGGAUUGGCUGGUGGAAGACUGCAGUAUUACCAAGGUGGCGCUGACGUCUCCGACCACUGACGCUCGGCCGAGGGCGGCCCACCUUGGCAGGCUCAGCUCCGAUUGGCUGGUGCCUCCCUGAGGACGCCGGGAGUAGGAAACAGGAGACAAGGCUGUCUGCUGGGGACCAAUGGAGGAAGCAGCGGGAUUGGCUGGAAGAAGACUGCAGUAUUACCAAGGUGGCGCUGACUUCUCUGGCCACUGACGCUCGGCCGAGGGCGGCCCACCUUGGCAGGCUCAGCUCCGACUGGCUGGUGCCUCCCUGAGGACGCCGAGAGUAAGGAACAAGUAAGUGAGAAGUGAGAGGCCCGCACCCGCCCAACUCCCCCCCCCCAGGCUCGGGCUCCUGAGCGUGGGAGCAAAGUGACCAGGAAACAUAAGGCCCACACCC